AAAUUGAAGAGUUUGAUCAUGGCUCAGAUUGAACGCUGGCGGCAGGCCUAACACAUGCAAGUCGAACGGUAACAGGAAGAAGCUUGCUUCUUUGCUGACGAGUGGCGGACGGGUGAGUAAUGUCUGGGAAACUGCCUGAUGGAGGGGGAUAACUACUGGAAACGGUAGCUAAUACCGCAUAACGUCGCAAGACCAAAGAGGGGGACCUUCGGGCCUCUUGCCAUCGGAUGUGCCCAGAUGGGAUUAGCUAGUAGGUGGGGUAAGGGCUCACCUAGGCGACGAUCCCUAGCUGGUCUGAGAGGAUGACCAGCCACACUGGAACUGAGACACGGUCCAGACUCCUACGGGAGGCAGCAGUGGGGAAUAUUGCACAAUGGGCGCAAGCCUGAU
Molecule: ribosomal RNA, 390 nt
Filed under: Escherichia coli
Lineage: Bacteria; Pseudomonadati; Pseudomonadota; Gammaproteobacteria; Enterobacterales; Enterobacteriaceae
Description: bacterial SSU rRNA
Rfam family: Bacterial small subunit ribosomal RNA
Source: RNAcentral